GCCAAGCAUGUUUCAGGUACUGCCGUAUUAGGGUGAAACCGGAAAUGGGUCAUUAAAUCAUUUAUGGUUCCUUAGAUCGUACCCACAUUUACUUGGAUAACUGUGGUAAUUCUAGAGCUAAAACAUGCAAACCCGAGUUCCGACCAGAGAUGGAAGGAACGCUUUUAUUAUAUCAAAACCAAUCGGUGGCGGGUUCGCGCCCGUCCAUCCUUCCUUUUGGUGACUCUGAAUAAUUUUGUGUUGAUCGCUCGGUCUGUUUCCGGCGACGCAUCUUUCAAAUGUAUGCCUUAUCAACUGUCUAUGGUAGGUUCUGCGCCUACCAUGCUUGUAACGGGUAACGGAGAAUCAGGGUUAGAUUCCGGAGAGGGAGCCUGAAAAACAGCUACCACAUCCAAGGAAGGCAGCAGGCGCGCAAAUUACCCACUCCCGCCACGGGGAGGUAGUGACGAAAAAUAACGAUACGGGACUCAUCCGAGGCCCCGUACUCGGAAUGAGUACACUUUAAAUCCUUUAACGAGGAUCCAUUGGAGGGCAAGUCUGGUGCCAGCACCCGCGGUAAUUCCAGCUCCAAUAGCGUAUAUUAAAGUUGUUGCGGUCAAAAAGCUCGUAGUUGAAUCUGUGUGUCACGAUGUCGGUUCACCCCUCGCGGUGUUUAACUGGCAUGCCGUGAGACGUCCUACCGGUGGGCUUAUCUCUUCGCGGGGCGGUCCAACUAAUAUCCCAUCCCGGUGCUCUUCAUCGAAUGUCGAGGUGGGCCGGUACGUUUACUUUGAACAAAUUAGAGUGCUUAAAGCAGGCUAUCCUCGCCUGAAUACUGUGUGCAUGGAAUAAUGGAAUAGGGCCUCGGUUCUAUUUUGUUGGUUUUCGGAACCCCGAGGUAAUGAUUAAUAGGGACGGAUGGGGGCAUUCGUAUUGCGACG
Molecule: ribosomal RNA, 920 nt
Filed under: Pseudoplatylabus apicalis
Lineage: Eukaryota; Metazoa; Arthropoda; Insecta; Hymenoptera; Ichneumonidae
Description: SSU rRNA
Rfam family: Eukaryotic small subunit ribosomal RNA
Source: RNAcentral